This 495-nucleotide ribosomal RNA is filed under the name uncultured bacterium. RNAcentral's name for it is "partial 16S ribosomal RNA". It matches the Rfam family "Bacterial small subunit ribosomal RNA", at positions 30 to 507 of the family's 1533-position model. The record is from RNAcentral.
UGAACGCUGGCGGCGUGCCUACUACAUGCAAGUCGAGCGAACAGACGAGGAGCUUGCUCCUUUGACGUUAGCGGCGGACGGGUGAGUAACACGUAGGUAACCUACCUAUAAGACUGGGAUAACUUCGGGAAACCGGAGCUAAUACCGGAUAAUAUUUCGAACCGCAUGGUUCGAUAGUGAAAGAUGGCUUUGCUAUCACUUAUAGAUGGACCUGCGCCGUAUUAGCUAGUUGGUAAGGUAACGGCUUACCAAGGCAACGAUACGUAGCCGACCUGAGAGGGUGAUCGGCCACACUGGAACUGAGACACGGUCCAGACUCCUACGGGAGGCAGCAGUAGGGAAUCUUCCGCAAUGGGCGAAAGCCUGACGGAGCAACGCCGCGUGAGUGAUGAAGGUCUUCGGAUCGUAAAACUCUGUUAUUAGGGAAGAACAAACGUGUAAGUAACUGUGCACGUCUUGACGGUACCUAAUCAGAAAGCCACGGCUAACUACGUG